UAGGAUCUUCCACAUGGACGCAGUCUGAUGGAGCAACGCCGCGUGAGUGAAGAAGGUUUUCGGAUCGUAAAGCUCUGUUGUUGGUGAAGAAAGAUAGUGAGAGUAACUGCUCAUUAUUUGCCGGUAAUCAACCAGAAAGUCACGGCUAACUACGUGCCAGCAGCCGCGGUAAUA
This 174-nucleotide ribosomal RNA is filed under the name uncultured Lactobacillus sp. Its description in RNAcentral is "partial 16S ribosomal RNA". It matches the Rfam family "Bacterial small subunit ribosomal RNA", at positions 357 to 525 of the family's 1533-position model. The record is from RNAcentral. Lineage: Bacteria; Bacillati; Bacillota; Bacilli; Lactobacillales; Lactobacillaceae.